GAAGGGAAUAUACAAGCUGGAAAGCAAAACUUACAUGUGGGAAAUGAUAAAAGUCUUAGAAUAUGCUAGUUGGAAAGAUAAAAGGGGGUAAUCUUGAUCUUUAAAUAGAAACACCACACACACAUAAAAAGGGGAGAACUUUCAGACUUGAAAACAAUAAUAUUUUUAGAGCUUUUAAGGAAAUUUGAUUUCUCGAGAGAGGGUUUUAAAAAUAGGAACUGUAAGUUUGAGACAUAGAGUUCCGAAGGGUAUUUAGAAUGUUCGGAGAGAUUUUCGGACAUUAAAAGAGAGCUUAUGACAUUCUUGAAGGAGAUGGAGGUCUAAAACAAAAAGACGAGAGCUUAGGAAUACAGAACAUUGGGUUUAGAAAGGUCUUGAUAAUCUUACUGAAAUAACUCUACUGUUCCAUUGAAAUUGGUCUACUCUUUGUUGGUUUUUAUGGAAUUCCUUGGUUCAAUUUCAAGCUCGUUUGAGUUUUUUUUAGUCUAUUUGGAUAUUUGUUGUUAUUAUUGUUUCACACUUCAUUUCGGAAUGUGUUUAAGUGUGUUUCCGGGCUGAACUAGUUGUGUUCGUGGCUGUUUGAACUCCAAAUCUGCUGUUAAACUUCUUGUUUGCUGCUACUCACUUUCUCCUACUUCAAUGUUGUAACUUCCACGUACAUAUUUUGCUCUUAUCCUGCUGUAGAUCUCAAUUUAAGAGUGAAAUAAAGACUAUGAAUGACUUCCCAUGUUUAAUUAUGUUCGAUUGGUCUACGGUAGUCUCACCAGUUCUCAUAACUAGAUGAAUAUUCAUCUUUUAAUUAAUAUGCAAUUGAGACAUGUAAUUGCUAGGCUAGAAAACAGUUUGUUAGCAUUGUAACUGUUUAAUUGGAAUGUAUUAAUGAAUAUUUUCAGAUCUAUAUGGACGUUAUGAGUAGAAUGCUAGUUGUAGUCAAUUUUAGUUUAAACUAUUAGACU
This 956-nucleotide long non-coding RNA is filed under the name Nicotiana benthamiana. RNAcentral describes it as "long non-coding RNA (NBEN_LNC028039)". The record is from RNAcentral. Lineage: Eukaryota; Viridiplantae; Streptophyta; Magnoliopsida; Solanales; Solanaceae.